AUUUUGACAGGGGUGGGUGGACGGGCCAGUAUGAGGAGUGUUUGUGACAUCAUAAGGGGACCUUGGAAAAGUGGCAUGUCAGCUCUUUCAGACCCACUAGUGCUAUACUUCUUAAGUGUUCUGUCUCCAGGGCCGCCAUCAGGGGUGACAACCAUAACGGUUGUCAAGGGCUCGGUGGUCCUGGGGGCGUCUCGGGCCCCACAUUUCCUCUCUGCAUAUAUAUAGCGAUGAUUGCUAUAUAUAUGUGCAGCUGUGGGCUCCAUGUACUUGCAGGGUGCCCAGCACACUGCAUCUGUACAUUACAGCUCCCCGCGCUCAUUAACUCUUGCGAGACGCGGCCGUCAGAGCGUUGCCACGGAUUACCAUGGCAAUGCUCUGCGCGGCACACAGGCCACGCUUGCGAG
Non-coding RNA from Pelobates cultripes (western spadefoot toad), 404 nucleotides. Lineage: Eukaryota; Metazoa; Chordata; Amphibia; Anura; Pelobatidae. The record is from the annotation of a GenBank genome assembly.